Molecule: ribosomal RNA, 254 nt
Filed under: uncultured bacterium
Lineage: Bacteria
Description: partial 16S ribosomal RNA
Rfam family: Bacterial small subunit ribosomal RNA
Source: RNAcentral
CACGUAGGCACCAAGCGUUGUCCGGAUUUAUUGGGCGUAAAGAGCUCGUAGGCGGUUCGGUAAGUCGGGCGUGAAAACUCUGGGCUCAACCCAGAGCCGCCACCCGAUACUGCUGUGACUCGAGUGCGGUAGGGGAGCGGGGAAUUCCUGGUGUAGCGGUGAAAUGCGCAGAUAUCAGGAGGAACACCAGUGGCGAAGGCGCCGCUCUGGGCCGUGACUGACGCUGAGGAGCGAAAGCGUGGGUAGCAAACAGG